AUUGAACGCUGGCGUCAUGCCUAACACAUGCAAGUCGAGCGGAUGAAGGGAGCUUUCUCCUGGAUUCAGCGGCGGACGGGUGAGUAAUGCCUAGGAAUCUGCCUUGUAUUUGGGGAUAACGUCCGUAAACGGGAGCUAAUACCGCAUACGUCCUGAUGGAGAAAGUGGGGGAUCUUCGGACCUCACGCUAUCAGAUGAGCCUAGGUCGGAUUAGCUAGUUGGUGGGGUAAAGGCCUACCAAGGCGACGAUCCGUAACUGGUCUGAGAGGGUGAUCAGUCACACUGGAACUGAGACACGGUCCAGACUCCUACGGGAGGCAGCAGUGGGGAAUAUUGGACAAUGGGCGAAAGCCUGAUCCAGCCAUGCCGCGUGAGUGAAGAAGGUCUUCGGAUUGUAAAGCUCUGUAAGUUGGGAGGAAGGGAAGUAAGUUUAUACCUUGCUGUUUUGACGGUACCUAAAGAAUAAGCACCGGCUAACUUCGUG
Molecule: ribosomal RNA, 484 nt
Filed under: uncultured bacterium
Lineage: Bacteria
Description: partial 16S ribosomal RNA
Rfam family: Bacterial small subunit ribosomal RNA
Source: RNAcentral